GUCAUGAGGGGUGGCAUAUCAGUAAUUAACUUUGGAUAUGUAAAGUUUGAAAAAGCUUUUGGAUACACUAAGGAAAGAUAUCAAGAUAAUUGUGAAGAUCAGCCAAAAAGAUGAGUAAAUGAUAUAAAGUUGACAAACUGUAAGACAAUUGAAAUACCAUAAAAAACACCAGGCUGGUCUGGCUAGAAGAAGAAAUCUUGUAUUCAGACUGAACAAAACCCUAGGAUCCCAGGACAAGCAGGUGCUCAGUGGGAGAUACAGGACCUUCUUGGGCAUCAAGAGAUUUAAUCUUUGAUCUGUUCAAAGUUUGACCCGUCUGGGCCUCUGUUUCCUCAUUUAUAAUAAUGAAGAAAACUGGAUGAUUUCUGAGGCCCCAUUCUACGUUUCUACAAUGGCUUGUGUUAUUUUAAAGGCACAGAGUGAAGAAAUUACGAGUCAUACAGCUGAAGUAUGCACAGAAAAGAUUUCAACCUCAAAUAAAAUCUGGAACUGAAGUUUCACUCCCCUCAUGGAACAAAUGUAUCAAGACUUGGUCAGAACUGAAGGCCAGAACACUUUCAAAAGUGAAGGGGUACAAGCUCAGGAAUGUUAGGUGUUAAGAUCCCUUACCAUACUUUACCAUAUAUGGUCUUGUUUAAAGUUCUUCCAAUCAAGACCUACCCACCAGCACUUCUGCAUACCAGCCUGCUCUCUCUAACCCAGAAAACUUGCCCCAGACUCCAGAAUGGGGAGAUGGAAUUGAGCUUUGUCUCCUGCCUCC
This 760-nucleotide long non-coding RNA is filed under the name Homo sapiens (human). RNAcentral's name for it is "HSALNT0310792". Lineage: Eukaryota; Metazoa; Chordata; Mammalia; Primates; Hominidae. The record is from RNAcentral.